CCUACGGGAGUCUGCAGUAGGGAAUCUUCCACCAUGGGCGAAAGCCUGAUGGAGCAACGCCGCGUGGGUGAAGAAGGUCUUCGGAUCGUAAAACCCUGUUGUUAGAGAAGAACGGUCACUGUGCUAAUCAGCAGUGAAUUGACGGUACCUGCAAAGGAAGCACCGGCUAACUCCGUGCCAGCAGCCGCGGUAAUACGGAGGGUGCGAGCGUUAAUCGGAAUUACUGGGCGUAAAGCGCUCGUAGGCGGUAUGUCAAGUCAAGGGUGAAAUCCCCGCGCUCAACGUGGGAACUGCCUUUGAAACUGGCAAACUGGAGUGUGUGAGAGGAUAGUGGAAUUCCAGGUGUAGGAGUGAAAUCCGUAGAUAUCUGGAGGAACAUCAGUGGCGAAGGCGACUAUCUGGCACAUAACUGACGCUGAGGAGCGAAAGCGUGGGUAGCAAACAGGAUUAGAUACCCUUGUAGUC
Molecule: ribosomal RNA, 465 nt
Filed under: uncultured bacterium
Lineage: Bacteria
Description: partial 16S ribosomal RNA
Rfam family: Bacterial small subunit ribosomal RNA
Source: RNAcentral